UUGAACGCUGGCGGCAGGCCUAACCCAUGCCAGUCGAGCGGUAGAGAGAAGCUUGCUUCUCUUGAGAGCGGCGGACGGGUGAGUAAUGCCUAGGAAUCUGCCUGGUAGUGGGGGAUAACGUUCGGAAACGGACGCUAAUACCGCAUACGUCCUACGGGAGAAAGCAGGGGACCUUCGGGCCUUGCGCUAUCAGAUGAGCCUAGGUCGGAUUAGCUAGUUGGUGGGGUAAUGGCUCACCAAGGCGACGAUCCGUAACUGGUCUGAGAGGAUGAUCAGUCACACUGGAACUGAGACACGGUCCAGACUCCUACGGGAGGCAGCAGUGGGGAAUAUUGGACAAUGGGCGAAAGCCUGAUCCAGCCAUGCCGCGUGUGUGAAGAAGGUCUUCGGAUUGUAAAGCACUUUAAGUUGGGAGGAAGGGCAGUAAAUUAAUACUUUGCUGUUUUGACGUUACCGACAGAAUAAGCACCGGCUAACUCUGUG
This 483-nucleotide ribosomal RNA is filed under the name uncultured bacterium. RNAcentral's name for it is "partial 16S ribosomal RNA". It matches the Rfam family "Bacterial small subunit ribosomal RNA", at positions 30 to 507 of the family's 1533-position model. The record is from RNAcentral.